RNAcentral lists this ribosomal RNA (406 nucleotides) under uncultured bacterium. Its description in RNAcentral is "bacterial SSU rRNA". It matches the Rfam family "Bacterial small subunit ribosomal RNA", at positions 355 to 776 of the family's 1533-position model. The record is from RNAcentral.
UGGGGAAUAUUGGACAAUGGGCGAAAGCCUGAUCCAGCCACGCCGCGUGUGUGAUGAAGGCCUUCGGGUCGUAAAGCACUGUCGUGAGGGACGAAGUACUGACGGUACCUCACAAGAAAGCACCGGCUAACUCCGUGCCAGCAGCCGCGGUAAUACGGAGGGUGCAAGCGUUGCUCGGAAUUACUGGGCGUAAAGCGACCGCAGGCGGUCUGUCAGGUCGGAUGUGAAAGCCCGGGGCUCAACCCCGGAACUGCAUUCGAAACCGGCAGACUUGAGUACGGGAGAGGAGGGCGGAAUUCCUGGUGUAGAGGUGAAAUUCGUAGAUAUCAGGAGGAACGCUCGAGGCGAAGGCGGCUCUCUGGCCCGAUACUGACGCUCAUGGUCGAAAGCGUGGGGAGCGAACAGG